UGGGGAAUUUUGGACAAUGGGCGAAAGCCUGAUCCAGCAAUGCCGCGUGUGUGAAGAAGGCCUUCGGGUUGUAAAGCACUUUUGUCCGGAAAGAAAUCCUUGGCUCUAAUACAGUCGGGGGAUGACGGUACCGGAAGAAUAAGCACCGGCUAACUACGUGCCAGCAGCCGCGGUAAUACGUAGGGUGCAAGCGUUAAUCGGAAUUACUGGGCGUAAAGCGUGCGCAGGCGGUUUGCUAAGACCGAUGUGAAAUCCCCGGGCUCAACCUGGGAACUGCAUUGGUGACUGGCAGGCUAGAGUAUGGCAGAGGGGGGUAGAAUUCCACGUGUAGCAGUGAAAUGCGUAGAGAUGUGGAGGAAUACCGAUGGCGAAGGCAGCCCCCUGGGCCAAUACUGACGCUCAUGCACGAAAGCGUGGGGAGCAAACAGGAUUAGAUACCCUGGUAGUCCACGCCCUAAAACGAUGUCAACCAGUUGUUGGGGAUUCAUUUCCUUAGUAACGUAGCUAACGCGUGAAGUUGACCGCCUGGGGAGUACGGUCGCAAGAUUAAAACUCAAAGGAAUUGACGGGGUCAUAGCUGUUUCC
Molecule: ribosomal RNA, 585 nt
Filed under: uncultured bacterium
Lineage: Bacteria
Description: partial 16S ribosomal RNA
Rfam family: Bacterial small subunit ribosomal RNA
Source: RNAcentral